GCACUGCUGAGGAGUCCCACAAUAGGACGGAGCGGCCGCCCAGUGC
Molecule: non-coding RNA, 46 nt
Organism: Schistosoma mattheei
Lineage: Eukaryota; Metazoa; Platyhelminthes; Trematoda; Strigeidida; Schistosomatidae
Source: Rfam